AUGCGGCGAGACGCGGCCGUCGCCCCCGCGGCGGUCGUGACCUCGCCGCAGAUCGCGGCCGGCGGGACAGAAAUGGGGAAUGCCGAGGCGGUGGCCAUCGAAGUCGACUCGGCGCCAGCGCCAGCGUCGGCGGCCAUCGACAUCGACCUCGAAGCGGGGGGCGCGUCCCACGGCGUGGCGUGCCGGAUCUGCCACCUCAGCCCCGAGGGCGGCGACGGGCCUGGGUCGGAGGUGAUCCGGCUCGCCUGCUGCUGCAAGGAGGAGCUCGGCCACGCGCACCGACAAUGCGCCGAGGCGUGGUUCCGGAUCAAGGGCGAUAGGCGCUGUGAAAUUUGUGGUUCAGAGGCCAAAAACAUUACUGGCCUGGAAGUGAAAAAAUUCAUGGAGGAAUGGCAUGGGCGAAGAAUGGCAACUACCGGGGCUAUGGUAGAGAGGGAAAGCACUUGCUAG
RNAcentral lists this ribosomal RNA (450 nucleotides) under Triticum aestivum (bread wheat). RNAcentral's name for it is "partial small subunit ribosomal RNA". The record is from RNAcentral. Lineage: Eukaryota; Viridiplantae; Streptophyta; Magnoliopsida; Poales; Poaceae.